This 469-nucleotide long non-coding RNA is filed under the name Homo sapiens (human). RNAcentral describes it as "non-protein coding lnc-POLRMT-6:9". Lineage: Eukaryota; Metazoa; Chordata; Mammalia; Primates; Hominidae. The record is from RNAcentral.
UGUGGCUCACGUCUGUACUCCCAGAGCCUUGGGAGGUCGAGGCGGGAAGAUCGCUUGAGCCCGGGAGCUCGAGACCAGACGCGGCAACAUGGCGAGACGCACAUCUCUGCCUUUAAAAAUGAGAGGCUGGCGGUUACCUUUCUUGGGGAGACGCGUCCGACUGCUUCAUUGUGGGGGCCUCAGGAGCGGAGGAUCGGGUCCCGCCCGAGGUGACGCGUAAACCCAGACUCUCAGCAACGCGGGUAGGAAGGACCCUUGAAGUUCCGCGGCGACCACGUCGGCUGAAACCAGCAGCCCAGGACAAGUGGACCAGCCAGCAAGACCCAGACCAUCCAAACCGGCUGAUCCUACGACAGGACCCAGAUGCCAGUGAAAGUGACCACAGCCCUGCUCUAGUCACCCCGGAAGCUGACCAGUCUACGCACGGCCGAAGCUUCGUCAAGGAAGUAAAUGUAGUUAGAAAUCUUAA